ACGAACGCUGGCGGCGUGCUUAACACAUGCAAGUCGAACGCUGAAGACCUGGCUUUUGUUGGGUUGGAUGAGUGGCGAACGGGUGAGUAACACGUGAGUAACCUGCCCUCUUCUUUGGGAUAACGCCCGGAAACGGGUGCUAAUACUGGAUAUUCACUGGCCUUCGCAUGGGGGUUGGUGGAAAGGUUUGUUCUGGUGGGGGAUGGGCUCGCGGCCUAUCAGCUUGUUGGUGGGGUGAUGGCCUACCAAGGCUUUGACGGGUAGCCGGCCUGAGAGGGUGACCGGUCACAUUGGGACUGGGAUACGGCCCAGACUCCUACGGGAGGCAGCAGUGGGGAAUAUUGCACAAUGGGCGAAAGCCUGAUGCAGCGACGCCGCGUGAGGGAUGGAGGCCUUCGGGUUGUAAACCUCUUUCGCUCAUGGUCAAGCCGCAACUGUGGGUUGUGGUGAGGGUAGUGGGUAAAGAAGCGCCGGCUAACUACGUG
RNAcentral lists this ribosomal RNA (485 nucleotides) under uncultured bacterium. RNAcentral's name for it is "partial 16S ribosomal RNA". It matches the Rfam family "Bacterial small subunit ribosomal RNA", at positions 29 to 507 of the family's 1533-position model. The record is from RNAcentral.